Molecule: ribosomal RNA, 2187 nt
Filed under: Plenodomus biglobosus/Leptosphaeria biglobosa 'brassicae' group
Lineage: Eukaryota; Fungi; Ascomycota; Dothideomycetes; Pleosporales; Leptosphaeriaceae
Description: eukaryotic LSU rRNA
Rfam family: Eukaryotic large subunit ribosomal RNA
Source: RNAcentral
GACACUUAAAUGUACUGUUACUAGUAGGCUAUUUUUAGUAAGUAGAACUAGUAAUACAGGAUAAACUAAACGCGGGGUUAAGGUGCUAGAAUGCACGCUUAUUAGACACUACAAAAGGUGUUAGUUUAUCUAGAUAGCAGGACGGUGGCCAUAGAAGUUAGAAUCCGCUAAGGAGUGUGUAACAACUUACCUGCUAAAUAAACUAGCCCUAAAAAUAGAUGGCGCUUAAGCGUGUUACCUAUACCCCGCCGCUAGGGUAAGAUUUAAGCCCUAGCAAGUAGGCAGGCGUGGAGGCUUGUAACGAAGCCUUAGGGGUAACCCUAGGUAGAAUGGCCUCUAGUGCAGAUCUUAGUAGUAGUAGCAAAUACUUAAAUAAGAACUUUAAGGACUAAAGUAGGGAAAGGUUCUGUGUGAACAGCAGUUAGACACAGGUUAGUUAAUCCUAAGAGAUAGGGUAAUUCUGUUUUAAUAUUGGCGCUUACGCCGCGCCCUUAAAAGGGAAGCUAGUUAAUAUUCUAGCACCUAGAUGUAGAUUCUCCGCAGCAACGCAACUAAGAGCAGAGACCUUAGCAGGAGCCCUAAGAAGAGUUCUCUUUUCUUCUUAACAGUCUGUUACCCUAAAAUUAGUUUAUCUAGAGCUAGGGUUUAAUGGCUAGAAGAGCGCUGCACUUUUGCGGCAUUUAGUGCGCUCCUAACAAGCCUUAAAAAUCCACUUAAAGAAAUAGUUUUUACGCUAGGUUAUACUUAUAACUGUAGUAGGUCUCUAAGGUAAAAAGCCUCUAGUUAAUAGAAUAAUAUAGAUAAGGGAAGUCGGCAAAAUAGAUCUGUAACUUUAGGAAAAGGAUUAGCUCUAAGGGUUAGGUACGUUAGGCCUUAGGGAGAAGCCUCUAGCGUAGAAGGGCACUAACCGCAAGGUAGGCGCCUCUUAGCGCUAGGGUGCAGACACCCUUAGCAGGUUUUAGCUGUCUAGCGUACGUUUAACAACCAACUUAGAACUAGUAUAGAUAAGGGGAAUCUAACUGUCUAAUUAAAAUAUAGUAUUGUAAUAGCUAGAAAGUAGUGUUAAUAUAAUGUGAUUUCUGCCUAGUGCUCUAAAUAUUAAAGCAAAGAGAUUUAACUAAGCGCGGGUAAACGGCGGGAGUAACUAUAACUCUCUUAAGGUAGCUAAAUACCUUGUUAUCUAAUUAGUGACGCGCAUAAAUAGAUUAACGAGAUUCCUACUAUCCCUAUCUACUAUCUAGCGAAACCAUAGCUAAGGGAACAGGCUUAGCUAAAUUAGCGGGGAAAGAAGACCCUGUUAAGCUUAACUCUAGUUUAACAUUGUGAAAAGACAUAGGGGGUGUAGAAUAGGUAGGAGCUUUGGCGCUAGUAAAAUACCACUACCCUUAUCGUUUUUUUACUUAUUUGAUAAAGCGGAGCUAGGCCUUACUGCCUAACUUCUAGCGUUUAAGGUCCUUUAUAGGCUAAUCUAGGUUAAAGAUAUUGUUAGGUAGGGAGUUUAGCUAGGGCGGCACAUCUAUUAAACUAUAACGCAGGUGUCCUAAGGGGGACUUAUAGAGAACAGAAAUCUCUAGUAGAGCAAAAGGGCAAAAGUCCCCUUAAUUUUGAUUUUUAGUGUGAAUACAAACUAUAAAAGUGUAGCCUAUUAAUCCUUUAGUCCCUUGAAAUUUAAGGCUAGAGGUACUAGAAAAGUUACCACAGGGAUAACUAGCUUGUGGCAGCCAAGCGUUCAUAGCGACGUUGCUUUUUGAUCCUUUAAUGUUAGCUCUUCCUAUUAUACUAAAGUAGAAUUUGGUAAGUGUUAGAUUGUUCACCCACUAAUAGGGAACGUAAGCUAGGUUUAGACUGUUGUAAGACAGGUUAGUUUUACCCUACUAAUAACCUUGCCCUAAUAGUAAUACCGCUUAGUACAAGAGGAACCGCGGUUUCAGAUAAUUAGUUUUUGCGGCUAUCUAACUAGGCAUUACCGCGAAGCUACUAUCUACUAGAUUAUAGCUAAACGCCUCUAAGUUAGAAUCUAUGCUAGAAUGGGGUGAUUUCCGCCUGCACUAGUUAGAUACAAAUAGGCCUUUGGCCUAGAACCUUACCAGAUUGGCGUUAGCAGCCCUAUUAAAGUUAGAGUUAUUAGCUAGUGUAUUGCAAUUAUACAGUGCGCAGGAUUGAAUCCUUUAUAGAUAACUUAGUUGU